ANCGCGNNCUAUNCAUGCAAGUCGAGCGGACAGAUGGGAGCUUGCUCCCUGAUGUUAGCGGCGGACGGGUGAGUAACACGUGGGUAACCUGCCUGUAAGACUGGGAUAACUCCGGGAAACCGGGGCUAAUACCGGAUGCUUGUUUGAACCGCAUGGUUCAAACAUAAAAGGUGGCUUCGGCUACCACUUACAGAUGGACCCGCGGCGCAUUAGCUAGUUGGUGAGGUAACGGCUCACCAAGGCAACGAUGCGUAGCCGACCUGAGAGGGUGAUCGGCCACACUGGGACUGAGACACGGCCCAGACUCCUACGGGAGGCAGCAGUAGGGAAUCUUCCGCAAUGGACGAAAGUCUGACGGAGCAACGCCGCGUGAGUGAUGAAGGUUUUCGGAUCGUAAAGCUCUGUUGUUAGGGAAGAACAAGUACCGUUCGAAUAGGGCGGUACCUUGACGGUACCUAACCAGAAAGCCACGGCUAACUACGUGCCAGCAGCCGCGGUAAUACGUAGGUGGCAAGCGUUGUCCGGAAUUAUUGGGCGUAAAGGGCUCGCAGGCGGUUUCUUAAGUCUGAUGUGAAAGCCCCCGGCUCAACCGGGGAGGGUCAUUGGAAACUGGGGAACUUGAGUGCAGAAGAGGAGAGUGGAAUUCCACGUGUAGCGGUGAAAUGCGUAGAGAUGUGGAGGAACACCAGUGGCGAAGGCGACUCUCUGGUCUGUAACUGACGCUGAGGAGCGAAAGCGUGGGGAGCGAACAGGAUUAGAUACCCUGGUAGUCCACGCCGUAAACGAUGAGUGCUAAGUGUUAGGGGGUUUCCGCCCNUAAUGCUGCAGCUANCGCAUUAAGCACUCCNCCUGGGGAGUACGGUCCCANACUGAACUUAGGNAAUUUUNGCGGGA
RNAcentral lists this ribosomal RNA (894 nucleotides) under Bacillus subtilis. Its description in RNAcentral is "bacterial SSU rRNA". It matches the Rfam family "Bacterial small subunit ribosomal RNA", at positions 41 to 919 of the family's 1533-position model. The record is from RNAcentral. Lineage: Bacteria; Bacillati; Bacillota; Bacilli; Caryophanales; Bacillaceae.